Oncorhynchus masou masou (cherry salmon) is the source of this 803-nucleotide long non-coding RNA. RefSeq lists it as uncharacterized. The transcript has 3 exons. The record is from RefSeq and is a predicted model, not a curated record. Lineage: Eukaryota; Metazoa; Chordata; Actinopteri; Salmoniformes; Salmonidae.
CACGGGGAAGGGGCUGAAUGAAACAUCUCUGCUGUGAUGGUAGGAUGGAGACCCAUAACAUAAUCAUCAUCACACAGGCGACGAGGAAUGGAGACAUUCAAUGUACUUGGGAAUGAAAUCUCUCCGGGAGACGCACUACCGGGUCCGUCACACAACGAGACCGUUUGGAGCUUGUCACCUUCACCGGGCACCGGACCCUCACCUGUAUCCGAGCUCUCCUUCAGCCUAAAGAGCCUCCGAUGCCACGACGGCGCCGACACCCCACGCAGAAAGCUGCGACUGACGCCGGAGCUAGUGACUCCCAGUCCCCCGGGCCCACGCCGGGUUCGACUUGUGGCAGAGGGCUUGUCCCUCAGGGAGAUGAGACGCCGACAGGUCUGGGCAAGCUCUGGAUGACAGACGGGGACAUAUCCUAAUGAAAGAUUAGCGGUUCCUCAUGGCUUGAUGACGCUGGGUAGAGUUAGAACGCAUCAGAGGCAGAACUAUUGGCUCAAUCCCAAAUGGGACACAGUUCCCGACAUAGUGCACUACUUCUGACUAGAGCCCUAUGUAGGCCCCUUGUCAACGGUAGUGCACUAUAUAGAGAAUGGGGUGCAAUUUGGGACAGACACAUUGAGAUUUAAAUCCAGUUUGUCCAGAAUUUAAAUCUCUGUAUAUCUUAUGUUGAGCAUGACUUUUCAGUUUGUGAAUCAUUUACAUGUGUAGCUUCCCUUUUGAUAAAUAAAUUAUUCUCAAAGAUUUUAAGUCAGAUUUUUUCCCCACAAUAUUCUCUCUAUGUAGGUAAUGUCCUAACAGACUCCGGG